CUCCCCAAGUCUCACGGGAGCUAGGGGUAGGUCUAGGGAAGCGGCGGCGGGAGCGAGCGUGUAGUUCGCGGGAGCUAGGACGCGGCGGCUUGGAAGCGGCAGUCGCUAGGGAAGCCUGAGGAGGCGGUCGGUACGAAAUGGGAGGAGACACACGACCACCACCACUACGUCGCGCAGUAGCUAGCGCUCUAGACGUUCGGGUUCAUGGCGACGCGAACCCGGACACAGCUGUGCCGGCGCCUGCCGCCAACGUCCUGCUGGCUUACGCCGGAGGUCAUGAGUUGCGUUCUAGUCUAGCCGUGGACGGGCUAGGGGUAGGCUCAGGUCCCGUCCGGCACGGCAGGCGCCACUGGCCGGUACGAAGUCGGAAGCGGACGAGGCCGGACUCAGAUCCCGGCAGUCCUGGUGGAGGGUCGGCAAGCUGCCAAACGGACUGAGCGAAGGUCGUACAUACAUACUAGCCAGUAUGGGGCGACGGAAGGAGAAGUGGCCUCGGUUUAUGACCACUACUCGAGUUGUUGUCGUAGUAACAACCAUUUAUGGUAGUCGUGAAUGUCAGAUGAGGUGGAUGUUUCUCGAUACCGUUCCUUUACCGUUUGGUCUUCCUACUCAAUCGGCUUUUCAAAGAUCGACUAAUGGCUCGCUACGGUUGCGAACGUUUCCUUCACUGAAAUCGACGUUGAUCGUUCUACAACUGAUUAAGUGGAAGACAGCGACGAGGACGGUUUCGAACGAAGAGAAAACCAUCGUUCUCUUCAGAGUUCCAGCUUAAAACCCCGGCCCUUCGUGAUCCAAGAGACCACCGGAUGGUGAUUCAUAGUUUCCGUAAAAGUAUACCAAAAAAGGGCAGACAUUCUACCGUUAAGGUAAAUGGUUGGCAUUCCAAACUUCUAAUAAAGAGGUUGCUACACCUCGGCGACUGCGAAUGAGAGGGACUUCUGAGUCACCGGUCGAGUCCGUAAACAGGGUCGAUACGACGAAGGGUAGUUUGAGCUCGAGUCGCGAGGCAGACGUGAGCUCGUGUCGACAGCCGGUAGUCGAGCGAGCUCGUUUGUGGGACCGGCAGGCGUGUGCUAGAGGAGGGUCGGAAGACUGCACAAUAAAAACGUACCUUCCGAUUCGAUAGAGGUGGCCGAGGAAAAAGACAAGCUCGAGGAGGGAUGGGACCGUUUUGGUUUACGAUGGUAGAGGAAAGGAACCGUACGAUUUUGAAUACAGUCAAGUAACAGUACCUAUCUAAUCACUCUUACUCUAACCCUAGAAAUGUGAUGUCUCCUGCUCCUCGAUAUACCCGAUGCUGUACAACGAACUCCACACCAAGACCCUGGACGACAACAAGUUUAAUAUCAAGGGAAUAAAUCUUGAUCCGUAAGGGUGACUAUGACUGGUAUGAACCUCGUAAAGGUCGUCACCGUCAUCUGUGUACACCGUGGUGAAGAACCAUCUAAAACAGGUAAAUGAAAAACAUAGGAAACUUAAUCUUAUAAGAGACGUUCUAAACUCAAACUUAGACCAGUUUAAUAAGAACAUGAGAAACUUAAAUUUAUUACAGAGCAUAGAAUGAUUUAAAACAAAACAUGACCUUCAUAAAUAAAAGAAGUUUAAGAGGUUACUAAGACUUUGUAUCGCCAUUAAAAACGUCCCAAGACACCAUGUGAUUUACAAAUAGCACUACAAGAACGGUAACUACGAAAAGGAACGGCCUACCGUAAACUCUCUCCCUUUCUUGCACUUAAGACGAAAAAUCAACAUAGAUUGCUUUAUAGACCCACCUAAUAAAAAAACUACUUCUUAAUGGAACUGC
This 1804-nucleotide ribosomal RNA is filed under the name Triticum aestivum (bread wheat). RNAcentral's name for it is "partial small subunit ribosomal RNA". The record is from RNAcentral. Lineage: Eukaryota; Viridiplantae; Streptophyta; Magnoliopsida; Poales; Poaceae.